Molecule: ribosomal RNA, 1441 nt
Filed under: uncultured organism
Description: SSU rRNA
Rfam family: Bacterial small subunit ribosomal RNA
Source: RNAcentral
AUGAUGAACGCUAGCUACAGGCUUAACACAUGCAAGUCGAGGGGCAGCAUUUUAGUUUGCUUGCAAACUGAAGAUGGCGACCGGCGCACGGGUGAGUAACACGUAUCCAACCUGCCGAUAACUCCGGGAUAGCCUUUCGAAAGAAAGAUUAAUACCGGAUAGCAUACGAAUAUCGCAUGAUAUUUUUAUUAAAGAAUUUCGGUUAUCGAUGGGGAUGCGUUCCAUUAGUUUGUUGGCGGGGUAACGGCCCACCAAGACUACGAUGGAUAGGGGUUCUGAGAGGAAGGUCCCCCACAUUGGAACUGAGACACGGUCCAAACUCCUACGGGAGGCAGCAGUGAGGAAUAUUGGUCAAUGGGCGCGAGCCUGAACCAGCCAAGUAGCGUGAAGGAUGAAGGCUCUAUGGGUCGUAAACUUCUUUUAUAUGGGAAUAAAGUUUUCCACGUGUGGAAUUUUGUAUGUACCAUAUGAAUAAGGAUCGGCUAACUCCGUGCCAGCAGCCGCGGUAAUACGGAGGAUCCGAGCGUUAUCCGGAUUUAUUGGGUUUAAAGGGAGCGUAGGUGGAUUGUUAAGUCAGUUGUGAAAGUUUGCGGCUCAACCGUAAAAUUGCAGUUGAAACUGGCAGUCUUGAGUACAGUAGAGGUGGGCGGAAUUCGUGGUGUAGCGGUGAAAUGCUUAGAUAUCACGAAGAACUCCGAUUGCGAAGGCAGCUCACUAGACUGUCACUGACACUGAUGCUCGAAAGUGUGGGUAUCAAACAGGAUUAGAUACCCUGGUAGUCCACACAGUAAACGAUGAAUACUCGCUGUUUGCGAUAUACAGUAAGCGGCCAAGCGAAAGCAUUAAGUAUUCCACCUGGGGAGUACGCCGGCAACGGUGAAACUCAAAGGAAUUGACGGGGGCCCGCACAAGCGGAGGAACAUGUGGUUUAAUUCGAUGAUACGCGAGGAACCUUACCCGGGCUUAAAUUGCAACAGAAUAUAUUGGAAACAGUAUAGCCGUAAGGCUGUUGUGAAGGUGCUGCAUGGUUGUCGUCAGCUCGUGCCGUGAGGUGUCGGCUUAAGUGCCAUAACGAGCGCAACCCUUAUCUUUAGUUACUAACAGGUCAUGCUGAGGACUCUAGAGAGACUGCCGUCGUAAGAUGUGAGGAAGGUGGGGAUGACGUCAAAUCAGCACGGCCCUUACGUCCGGGGCUACACACGUGUUACAAUGGGGGGUACAGAAGGCGGCUACCUGGUGACAGGAUGCUAAUCCCAAAAACCUCUCUCAGUUCGGAUCGAAGUCUGCAACCCGACUUCGUGAAGCUGGAUUCGCUAGUAAUCGCGCAUCAGCCAUGGCGCGGUGAAUACGUUCCCGGGCCUUGUACACACCGCCCGUCAAGCCAUGAAAGCCGGGGGUACCUGAAGUACGUAACCGCAAGGAGCGUCCUAGGGUAAAACUG